GAUGAACGCUAGCGGCAGGCUUAACACAUGCAAGUCGAGGGGCAGCACAGGUAGCAAUACUGGGUGGCGACCGGCAAACGGGUGCGGAACACGUACACAAUCUGCCUUUAUCUGGGGAAUAGCCCGAAGAAAUUCGGAUUAAUACCCCAUAACAUAUUUGGAUGGCAUCAUUUGAAUAUUAAAACUCCGGUGGAUAAAGAUGAGUGUGCGUCCCAUUAGCUAGUUGGCAGGGUAACGGCCUACCAAGGCGACGAUGGGUAGCUGGUGUGAGAGCACGACCAGCCACACGGGCACUGAGACACGGGCCCGACUCCUACGGGAGGCAGCAGUGAGGAAUAUUGGUCAAUGGACGCAAGUCUGAACCAGCCAUGCCGCGUGAAGGAUGAAGGCCUUCUGGGUUGUAAACUUCUUUUAUUGGGGAAGAAAAUUACGGUUUCUACUGUAACCGACGGUACCCAAGGAAUCAGCACCGGCUAACUCCGUGCCAGCCGCCGCAGUAA
RNAcentral lists this ribosomal RNA (500 nucleotides) under uncultured bacterium. RNAcentral describes it as "partial 16S ribosomal RNA". It matches the Rfam family "Bacterial small subunit ribosomal RNA", at positions 28 to 523 of the family's 1533-position model. The record is from RNAcentral.